Molecule: ribosomal RNA, 523 nt
Filed under: uncultured bacterium
Lineage: Bacteria
Description: partial 16S ribosomal RNA
Rfam family: Bacterial small subunit ribosomal RNA
Source: RNAcentral
UGGGGAAUAUUGCACAAUGGGCGCAAGCCUGAUGCAGCCAUGCCGCGUGUGUGAAGAAGGCCUUCGGGUUGUAAAGCACUUUCAGCGAGGAGGAAGGUGGUGAACUUAAUACGUUCAUCAAUUGACGUUACUCGCAGAAGAAGCACCGGCUAACUCCGUGCCAGCAGCCGCGGUAAUACGGAGGGUGCAAGCGUUAAUCGGAAUUACUGGGCGUAAAGCGCACGCAGGCGGUUUGUUAAGUCAGAUGUGAAAUCCCCGGGCUCAACCUGGGAACUGCAUUUGAAACUGGCAAGCUAGAGUCUCGUAGAGGGGGGUAGAAUUCCAGGUGUAGCGGUGAAAUGCGUAGAGAUCUGGAGGAAUACCGGUGGCGAAGGCGGCCCCCUGGANGAAGACUGACGCUCAGGUGCGAAAGCGUGGGGAGCAAACAGAUUAGAUACCCUGGUAGUCACGCUGUAAACGAUGUCGAUUUUGGAGGUUGUGCCCUNAGGCGUGGUUCCGGAGCUAACGNGUUAAAUCGACCGCC